This 95-nucleotide transfer RNA is filed under the name Fusobacteriota bacterium. RNAcentral describes it as "Fusobacteria bacterium (anaerobic digester metagenome) tRNA-Ser". It matches the Rfam family "tRNA". Rfam says of the family: Transfer RNA (tRNA) molecules are approximately 80 nucleotides in length. Their secondary structure includes four short double-helical elements and three loops (D, anti-codon, and T loops). The record is from RNAcentral. Lineage: Bacteria; Fusobacteriati; Fusobacteriota.
GGAGAGAUGGCAGAGCUGGUCGAACGCGCUCCCCUGCUAAGGGAGUAUCUGGGCUUAAACCUGGAUCGAGGGUUCAAAUCCCUCUCUCUCCGCCA